This is a long non-coding RNA of Dermacentor andersoni, 616 nucleotides long. RefSeq lists it as uncharacterized. The record is from RefSeq and is a predicted model, not a curated record. Lineage: Eukaryota; Metazoa; Arthropoda; Arachnida; Ixodida; Ixodidae.
CCUGCCUCAGCUCGGCAGCAGUGCACUACGGAGCCGUACCUAAAUACUGCCUUUGAUUUUGCAGCUUCCCUCUGGAUUAAAACAGCAAGCUGGGUGAGUUGGUAACUGAAGAUGUUCCUAGGGGUGGGCAGCGCUACCCGGACGAAGGAAGACGUUAAUAAAAGGGACCCAAUCGUAUCACGGAAGAAGAAUGGAGCUCUGCCAUCCAGAGCACAGCAUUUUCACGGCAAACUUGGGCUGCCCAGGGAGCCCACGAUGCGGGGGUGGGGCUCGGCUUACCAUUCUCCACGUGUGAGCGGUCCGCAGCUCUGCCCUAGAGCAGGGCUUCUCAGGUCCUUGUUAAUAAAGUUCUUUGUCUCUCUGUUUCAUGUGUUCUUAGUAACCAGUCGCUUCGAUAAUGCUUCUGUGCUAAGGGCACAACAGUGAAAUUAAUUGCUAAGGGAGAAUAAAAAAAAAACUACGUGCUUUAUCGGCCUCGCCGUGCCACUUUUAAUGCGUCUGCACUCUAGGAUAUGCCUGUGAUCGUUCGUUCGCCAAGUGCUAGCGCAUUGAUUGCUUGGGAAGACUCUCCCCUUCCCAAGCAUUAGGCGGCCAACAAGACGCUACCUUUCUUGGA